RNAcentral lists this ribosomal RNA (253 nucleotides) under uncultured bacterium. RNAcentral's name for it is "partial 16S ribosomal RNA". It matches the Rfam family "Bacterial small subunit ribosomal RNA", at positions 524 to 776 of the family's 1533-position model. The record is from RNAcentral.
UACGUAGGGGGCUAGCGUUGUCCGGAAUCAUUGGGCGUAAAGCGCGUGUAGGCGGUUCGGUAAGUCCGCUGUGAAAGUCGGGGGCUCAACCCUCGAAAGCCGGCGGAUACUGUCGGACUAGAGUGCGGAAGAGGCGAGUGGAAUUCCUGGUGUAGCGGUGAAAUGCGCAGAUAUCAGGAGGAACACCGAUGGCGAAGGCAGGUCUCUGGGCAUUAACUGACGCUGAGGAGCGAAAGCAUGGGGAGCGAACAGG